GGCGACGAAACUAACCCAUCUGAUCACCAGACAGCUCCUGGCAAGUCCGGAGGCUGUCCCGGGAAAGGAUCCCUGGGAUACUGAAGCGCAUCGAGAAGGAAGCAGAUCCCUCCUUGCACUACAUGUUUUAUGGAUACCUGUCAGCAUUCGUGGCUACCGUGGAUGAGGUCAAGGCUGCCAGGGGAGGUGCAUGCGGCGACCAAAGGCGACGGUUUUGUGAUCUGUGUGGACAACCACAAAACCACCAAAGAUUUCGGGCCGGCCCAGAUCUAUAUGAUGGAGGAGGAAUUCGGGUGGAUAGAUAAAUGGAUCGAGCUGUGGGCCCUUUGCCACCCGCAGAACAACCGGGUGCUCAUCACCGCCGGAUUAAGGUUAAGGUUAAGAACCUGGUCCGAUAUUUCCAGACGGCGUGGGUGGAGAUGGGCCUGUCGGGGAGGCCCACCUUCACCGACGUCAGGACGGCGGUGUCGGGACAUGCAAAUUCAUUUUUUCAGUCACUCUCCCCUUGGUGCUUUAUUACAAUAACACUUGGCUGGCUUUGCUAACAAGUACAAACAUUUUGUGCUCCUCUUUUUUACUGUGUCCAGGCCAAAGACCACCAUCGAGAUGAGGUGCGGAACAAAAUUGCCGCAUUUAUGUGUCACAGCACCGGCACAGCAGACCGGUUCUACUCCCUGGCGCUGGACUGCAGGAGGGCCAAGGAGCUGCGCCAGCAAUUUGAGGACAUUGUUGCCCCCUCCUCUACAACCACCACCACACCUGGCCCAUUCUCAGCCGCACCGGUGGACUCGCCCUUGGCCAAAAGAAAGACAAAGAUGAUGGACUCGGAUGAAACCGAGGACGACGACGAGGUGGAGUACCAAGAGUCGGGGGGGCAGCGCCGUGGAGGAAAUGGCUGACCUGCAGGAGGAGGAAGCCUUCACGCUCAUGGUGGAAAGUACUCCAGUGAAGAAAGUGCCGGCCACGAGGCCUCCGUCAGUGAAGCUCAGCCCAAUGGAGAAAAGGGUGACGCUCAUCU
Molecule: long non-coding RNA, 1018 nt
Organism: Anarrhichthys ocellatus (wolf-eel)
Lineage: Eukaryota; Metazoa; Chordata; Actinopteri; Perciformes; Anarhichadidae
Exons: 4
Source: RefSeq, a predicted model, not a curated record